UUAGAGUUUGAUCCUGGCUCAGGAUGAACGCUAGCGGGAGGCUUAACACAUGCAAGUCGAGGGGCAGCACGAUGUAGCAAUACGUUAGUGGCGACCGGCGCACGGGUGAGUAACACGUAUGCAACCUACCCUGUACAGGGGGAUAACCCGGAGAAAUUCGGACUAAUAUCCCAUAAAGAUAUUUGAGGGCAUCCUUGGAUAUUUAAAGCUCAGGCGGUACGGGAUGGGCAUGCGGAACAUUAGCUAGUUGGCAGGGUAACGGCCUACCAAGGCAACGAUGUUUAGGGGACCUGAGAGGGUGAUCCCCCACACUGGUACUGAGACACGGACCAGACUCCUACGGGAGGCAGCAGUGAGGAAUAUUGGUCAAUGGGCGCAAGCCUGAACCAGCCAUCCCGCGUGCAGGAAGACGGCCCUAUGGGUUGUAAACUGCUUUUCCAGGGGGAGAAUUUUUCUGUCGUGACAGGAAUUGACGGUACCCUGGGAAUAAGCAUCGGCUAACUCCGUGCCAGCAGCCGCGGUAAUACGGAGGAUGCGAGCGUUAUCCGGAUUUAUUGGGUUUAAAGGGUGCGUAGGCGGAGUGAUAAGUCAGUGGUGAAAACCUGCAGCUUAACUGUAGACUUGCCGUUGAUACUGUCAGUCUUGAGUGUGGUCAAGGUAAGCGGAAUGUGUAAUGUAGCGGUGAAAUGCUUAGAUAUUACACAGAACACCGAUUGCGAAGGCAGCUUACUGGGCCAUUACUGACGCUGAUGCACGAAAGCGUGGGGAUCGAACAGGAUUAGAUACCCUGGUAGUCCACGCCGUAAACGAUGAUCACUCGCUGUUAGCGAUACACAGUUAGCGGCUAAGCAAAAGCAUUAAGUGAUCCACCUGGGGAGUACGGCCGCAAGGCUGAAGCUCAAAGGAAUUGACGGGGGCCCGCACAAGCGGAGGAACAUGUGGUUUAAUUCGAUGAUACACGAAAAACCUUACCCGGGUUUGACAUAUAAGUAGUAGGGAUCUGAAAGGUGACCGACCCUUCGGGGAGCUUAUACAGGUGCUGCAUGGCUGUCGUCAGCUCGUGCCGUGAGGUGUUCGGUUAAGUCCGGUAACGAGCGCAACCCUCACUGUAUGUUACAAG
Molecule: ribosomal RNA, 1120 nt
Filed under: uncultured bacterium
Lineage: Bacteria
Description: bacterial SSU rRNA
Rfam family: Bacterial small subunit ribosomal RNA
Source: RNAcentral